AUGGUGGUCAUGGAGUAUAUUCCUAAAGGAAAUCUGAGCAACAUACUUCACCACCAUAGUAGUCCCAUCGCUUUGGAUACACGGCUAAGAAUUGCCAUUGAAUGUGCAGAAGCAUUGGGCUAUAUGCAUUCACAAAUGUAUACUCAGGUCAUUCAUGGUGAUAUCAAGCCUGCUAAUAUACUUCUGGAUGAUGGACUCAGCGCAAAAAUAUCAGACUUUGGAAUAUCAAGACUACUCAACACCGAAAGUACUCUAUAUACUCUAAAUGUGAUAGGAAGUAUAGGCUAUAUGGACCCUCUGUUUGCUCAGAAUGGCCGCCUCACAGCAAAGAGUGAUGUGUAUAGUUUUGGUGUUGUGCUCCUAGAACUGAUAACGAGAAAAAAAGCAAGAACAGAUGAUGGUGAGAUUGGCUUGGUUGAAAGCUUUAUUCAAUCCCUUUCAAAAGGGUUUAGGAGGGUGCGGGAGAUGUUUGAUCCUGAAAUUGCAACACCGAGUAACAUGAAGACUAUCCAAGAGAUUGUUAAAUUGGUAGGUAAAUGCUUGAGGAUGGAACUCCACAAACGCCCUGAGAUGUUAGAAGUUGCAGAACGUCUUCAAAAACUUAGAAAGGCUCCACAUCAGGUACAACAAAGACUAGCUCUAUUUUCUUGGGGAAAGAAAAAUAAACAAGUUCCAGCCGAAACACCAUUGCUGGAAAGCAGCAGCAGUACCCGAAAUGUGGGAACUUUUAUCGAGCUGGACGACCUGCUUCGGGCAUCGGCUGAAGUUCUGGGCAAAGGUACAGUCGGGACAACAUACAAAGCGACGCUU
This 810-nucleotide ribosomal RNA is filed under the name Triticum aestivum (bread wheat). Its description in RNAcentral is "partial small subunit ribosomal RNA". Lineage: Eukaryota; Viridiplantae; Streptophyta; Magnoliopsida; Poales; Poaceae. The record is from RNAcentral.